RNAcentral lists this ribosomal RNA (1030 nucleotides) under Gonoessa clavata. RNAcentral describes it as "partial large subunit ribosomal RNA". Lineage: Eukaryota; Metazoa; Arthropoda; Diplopoda; Polydesmida; Xystodesmidae. The record is from RNAcentral.
GGUUUUAGGUUUUUGAGUGUAAGAUAUAUUUUUAGUAGUCUGAGUGAAAGUUUGAGGGGUCCUAGAGAGCAUUAAGUACUGAGAAGGAAAGCUGUUUUAUUUUUUGUAAAUAUUAGGUUAUUUAGUACCUUUUGUAUUAGGGUUGAUUUAUGUGGUAUUACGUUUGUUAUUUCUCGAUUAAUAACGGGCUAUUUUUUCUUUUGGAGUUCUCGUUGUAUAGCGUUUGAUAGGAAACUAUAGGUAUGAAAUAUUAUUCAAGUUGUUUUUUAUCUAGUUCUUUAAGAGAUUUAAUAUGGGGUAGGUUUAUUGGGACGAUAAGUAGGGAUUAGCUUACUUGUUUUUUAUAUUAGUUUAUUUUUAUAAUUUGUUUGUUAGGUUGAUAGUGCUUAUUUAAAUGGAGUUAUUUUCGAACAAAUUUUUUUUAUUAUUUUAGGGUUUUAUGUGGACAUUAAGGUUGUGUUUUAAAUUUUUGUUAAUAGGUAAUAAUGAUUGAAUUAGUAAUAUUUAUUUAUUUUCUUAUUUUGUAAUAGGAGCGAGGUGUGGGUGAGAGUAUGUUUAAAAUUAGAGUUGAUGAAUUGGGCAAAAUUGAUUUCUGACUGUUUAGCAAAGACAUUGUUUUUUGUUAUAAUAAAAAAUAAGUUCUGUCCACUGCUAUUGAGUGAAGGGCUGCAGUAUUUUGACUGUAUGAAGGUAGCAUAAUCAUUAGCUUUUUAAUUGGGAGCUGGUAUGAAGGUGAAACAGAGAUUUGCUGUUUUUUUUCUAUUUUUUGAAUUUUAUUUUCAUGUGAAAAAUCAUGAUUUGGUUAAUGGGACAAGAAGACCCUAAUAAGUUUUAUUUUUUUGUUUACUGCGUGCAUAGGUUUUAUUUGUGUAAUUUAUAUGAGGGGGUUUGGCUGGGGCGGCAGCUUAUGGAACAUAGGCUUAUUUUUAACUUGGUGUGGCGGGUUUUGGACCUAGGAUGUCUAGAUUAGUGUAAAAUUACUGUAGGGAUAACAGCGUGAUUUUAUUUGAGAGUUCUAAUUGACAGUAAA